GACGAACCGAGCGAACGUUGUUCGGAAUAACUGGGCUUAAAGGGCGCGUAGGCGGGCUGCCGCGUCCGGGGUGAAAGCCUCCCGCUCAACGGGAGAACGGCCUCGGAUACGGGCGGCCUCGAGGGGGGUAGGGGCACCUGGAACUGUGGGUGGAGCGGUGAAAUGCGUUGAUAUCCACAGGAACUCCGGUGGCGAAGGCGAGGUGCUGGACCCCAUCUGACGCUGAGGCGCGAAAGCCAGGGGAGCGAACGGG
This 253-nucleotide ribosomal RNA is filed under the name uncultured bacterium. RNAcentral describes it as "partial 16S ribosomal RNA". It matches the Rfam family "Bacterial small subunit ribosomal RNA", at positions 524 to 776 of the family's 1533-position model. The record is from RNAcentral.